This 274-nucleotide ribosomal RNA is filed under the name uncultured bacterium. RNAcentral describes it as "partial 16S ribosomal RNA". It matches the Rfam family "Bacterial small subunit ribosomal RNA", at positions 523 to 796 of the family's 1533-position model. The record is from RNAcentral.
AGACGGAGGGUGCAAGCGUUAAUCGGAAUUACUGGGCGUAAAGCGCUCGUAGGCGGCUUGUUAAGUCGGAUGCGAAAGCCCCGGGCUCAACCUGGGAACUGCAUUCGAUACUGGCAGGCUAGAGUAUAGUAGAGGCAAGUGGAAUUCCGGGUGUAGCGGUGAAAUGCGUAGAUAUCCGGAGGAACAUCAGUGGCGAAGGCGACUUGCUGGACUAAUACUGACGCUGAGGAGCGAAAGCGUGGGGAGCAAACGGGAUUAGAAACCCGGGUAGUCC